RNAcentral lists this ribosomal RNA (254 nucleotides) under uncultured bacterium. Its description in RNAcentral is "partial 16S ribosomal RNA". It matches the Rfam family "Bacterial small subunit ribosomal RNA", at positions 524 to 776 of the family's 1533-position model. The record is from RNAcentral.
GACGGAGGAUGCAAGCGUUAUCCGGAAUGAUUGGGCGUAAAGCGUCCGCAGGUGGCAGUUCAAGUCUGCUGUCAAAGACCGGGGCUUAACUUCGGAAAGGCAGUGGAAACUGAACAGCUAGAGUAUGGUAGGGGCAGAGGGAAUUCCUGGUGUAGCGGUGAAAUGCGUAGAGAUCAGGAAGAACAUCGGUGGCGAAGGCGCUCUGCUGGACCAUAACUGACACUCACAGGACGAAAGCUAGGGGAGCGAAUGGG